RNAcentral lists this long non-coding RNA (2954 nucleotides) under Lactuca sativa (garden lettuce). Its description in RNAcentral is "long non-coding RNA (LSAT_LNC001419)". The record is from RNAcentral. Lineage: Eukaryota; Viridiplantae; Streptophyta; Magnoliopsida; Asterales; Asteraceae.
AAAUUCGUCUAUUCCUUUUUCCAUGCAUAAACUUGGCUUUAUAUGAAGCCUUUAUUACAAAUUUGGUGGUUACAAGCCAACCAACCAAUUAUUCAUUAAAACUAGUAAAUGAAAAUUAAGGAAACUCUUGAAAUAACACAAAAAAAACGUCCAAGACACUUGAGGAUGAAGAAAAAACGUGUAUGCUUCAUUAAGGAGCCAUAAGAAGCAUUAAUGAGCCAUCAGAAGCAUUAAAGUGUAACCCUAAUGCACCAAAGAGUGAUAAAAACGGCUAGGAGGCUUUAUGAAGCAAAAAGUAACGUUUGUAGCACUUAUGAAUCCUUAAAAAUGUUGCCCUAGCCUUCAUGCAACCCUAAUUCAAUUUGUGGGUUACCAUGCAUAACCCAACCAUUGAGCCCAAGCCACCUUCUAGCCCACUAGUAAUCACUAAUCCAUCACCUUUUGGGCUUUCAUAAUCCAUGCAUGGAUCAUCCCCUCCCCCUUUGAAAGGAAUUGACCUCAAUUCAUCAAGUCCAUCAUCAUCAAGAUAAGGUGAAAGCUCUCCCACAUUAAAGGUAGCAUGCAUUCCAUGGUCUCCUCCCAAAUCCACCUUGUAACCAUUAUCAUUUUCAGAAUUUGUCACUUCCACACAUGUAUCAUUCCCUCCUUCUUCGAAAGGAAUUGUCCUCAAUUCAGUAAGAACCAAAUUGUGUUGUUCUCCCAUGCAAACCUUCCAUGACAACAGGUCUUGAAAACAAUUUUUUAUUGCAGAAUGUGACAUUUUAUUUACUCCAAGCUGGUUUCUUCUCCAAAUACACAUGUUCUUCAAACAACUCAAAGAACUCAUAGAAUUGAAUCCUAACCGUAUCUUCAAUUUGUGGAUCAAAAACCAUUUUCGUACCUUCCCAUGAACUCGACCCUGCAAAUUAACCUUGCAAUAAUUUAAAUGGUUAAUUGCAGUCAUUUUAACAAAUGGAACAUCAUUUGUAUUUGUAAGUUGAUGAGCAGCACGCCCCAAUAUCACGACUUCCCAAUUAAAGAGACACCAAAAGAAUAUCAGUCCAAACAUCACGAGCUCCCUCCUAUGUAAAUAAUUAGGACUUGUAUCUUCAUAUUUUCUCUUAGAAAGAUGGUUUGUAAAAAGAUGGAUACCAUCCUUCUUCUUUCGUUCCCAAUAAACUUCACGCCAUCGGUCUUGGUGUUUUUGAACAAUGAAUGAAGAAUUAACGAAAAUAUGUUUUGUUUGUGGACAACAUAGAAAAUUGGCAUAAGAAUUGCCACACAAUGCCUCUUUUGGUGACUGAUUGCUACCACCAUGAACACAUAUUGUUUUGGAAAUCAUCAUAUCGUCUUUUGGAGGGUACAAAAUUCUACCAUCAUCCAAAAAUAAUUCGUCUUCUUGUUUUUGAGCCACGAAUGAAAAGUCUUCAUCUCUAAUUGCACAAAACUUUUUAUCAAAAGUAAUACGCAAGUCAUUUUUCUCCUUUUGAUCAAUGAAUGAAGACAAAACAAAAACAUCAUUAUUAAGAUCAUAAUUAGUAAAAUCCAACAUCUCACCAUGCUUCCUCCUCUCACCAAGGUCUUCAAAAUGUAAAAUAUAAGCAUUCCAUGGUCUCCAAAGUGUAAAAAUUUCCCACACUUUGAAACGAACAUGAAGAUGAAAAACAAAUAAAUCUUCUUGAUCAAUGAAGCUUCCAAUUUGGAUUUCUUUAAGAUCUUUAGAAAAGGAGUUAUGUUCAUAAAAGAUAUGAGAACAUGAACUUUUGUGGCACUUAUAGUCAUUGGUUCUCGUGGUUGUAAGCUCUUGGAAUGAAAUUUGUUGUUCAACAAAAAUCACAAUUUCUUCAAUAAUUUUGUCCAUAUCAACAAAAUUGAUUUCCUCCACAAUUGCUUCAACAAAUUCAUCUCCGAUCACGAAAUUAGUUUCUUCGUCAAGUUCUUCAAUAAAUUCCUCUUCAACCAAGAAACUUAUUCUUUCACAAAAUUCCCCUUCUCCAUCGGUGUCGUAGAUGGGACCAGAAUCUUCUACCUCCUCUUCUUCAUCAUAUAGCUUGCGCAACAUUUUUGGACAACAACUGAAUUCAGAACAAGAACUUAGUUACACCCAAUCGGAACUAGGCUCUGAUACCACUUAUGAUGCAUGUAUGGGCUUGAUUUGGUGAGUAGGGUAGUGUUUAGGUAAAUUAAGAGAGAAUAGUAACCACAAAUGAUAUAUGAAUGGAAAGAAAUGGAUAGAUUAGUAACAACUCAAGACCUAUUAAGUUGUAUACCGGUGAAAACAAUCCAAGACCUAUUGGAUUGAGUUCGUAUCAAGUCAAGAACACGUCCUAACAAGAUAAUUUGUGAAUUAUAACAAUAAUUCCAAUUGAACAAAGGUUUUUUUCUUAAAAAUUCGUCUAUUCCUUUUUCCAUGCAUAAACUUGGCUUUAUAUGAAGCCUUUAUUACAAAUUUGGUGGUUACAAGCCAACCAACCAAUUAUUCAUUAAAACUAGUAAAUGAAAAUUAAGGAAACUCUUGAAAUAACACAAAAAAAACGUCUAAGACACUUGAGGAUGAAGAAAAAACGUUUAUGCUUCAUUAAGGAGCCAUAAGAAGCAUUAAUGAGCCAUCAGAAGCAUUAAAGUGUAACCCUAAUGCACCAAAGAGUGAUAAAAACGGCUAGGAGGCUUUAUGAAGCAAAAAGUAACGUUUGUAGCACUUAUGAAUCCUUAAAAAUGUUGCCCUAGCCUUCAUGCAACCCUAAUUCAAUUUGUGGGUUACCAUGCAUAACCCAACCAUUGAGCCCAAGCCACCUUCUAGCCCACUAGUAAUCACUAAUCCAUCACCUUUUAGGCUUUCAUAAUCCAUGCAUGGAUCAUCCCCUCCCCCUUUGAAAGGAAUUGACCUCAAUUCAUCAAGUCCAUCAUUAUCAAGAUAAGGUGAAAGAUCUCCCACAUUAAAGGUAGCAUGCAUUCCAUGGUCUCCUCCCAAAUCC